UAAACUACGAUUAGAUACCCUAUUAUUUUAAAUGUAAAUUAUUAAUACUUGAGUAGUACUAGAUAUGUUCUUGAAACUCAAAGAAUUUGGCGGUGUUUUAGUCCUUUCAGAGGAACCUGUCCCGUAAUCGAUAGUCCACGUUUUACCUUACUUAAUCUAGUUAUCAGCUUGUAUACCGCCGUCGUCAGAAUGUCCUUAGAGGGAGAUAAUUUUCUUAAUUUUAUAUUAGAAUUGAUGUCAGGUCAAGGUGCAGUUUAUGGUUAAGUGGAGAUGGGUUACAAUAGAAUUAUUUAUCACGGAUAAUAGAUGGCAGAAUUUAUUGGAAGGUGGAUUUGAUUGUAAUUUUUUUUAUUAAAUUUAAAUGAUUUUGGCUCUAAAACAUGUACACAUCGCCCGUCGCUCUUA
Molecule: ribosomal RNA, 405 nt
Filed under: Rhithroperla sp. BYU_PL167
Lineage: Eukaryota; Metazoa; Arthropoda; Insecta; Plecoptera; Gripopterygidae
Description: partial 12S ribosomal RNA
Rfam family: Microsporidia small subunit ribosomal RNA (bases 51-405)
Source: RNAcentral